AUCAAUUCUAAGAAAAAUCCUAAAUCAAUGAGUUAACUCCAUCUCUAAUCGCUCUCCCAACCGAAAACCCGCAUCAUGCUAAUUUUUCGGAUCUGUAAGAAAAACAUAAAACUUAUCAUGAGCUAAAUAGUCCAGUAAGCAGUGUAUACCUUUAACUGAAUAAUCAGGCAAAUAAUACUAUGCAUAACAAAUCAAUAUGUAAUUUCAUGAAAUCAUAUUCAUACU
This 225-nucleotide long non-coding RNA is filed under the name Elaeis guineensis (African oil palm). RNAcentral describes it as "long non-coding RNA (EGUI_LNC036214)". Lineage: Eukaryota; Viridiplantae; Streptophyta; Magnoliopsida; Arecales; Arecaceae. The record is from RNAcentral.